RNAcentral lists this long non-coding RNA (7086 nucleotides) under Sus scrofa (pig). RNAcentral describes it as "lncRNA (ENSSSCG00045031708.1)". Lineage: Eukaryota; Metazoa; Chordata; Mammalia; Artiodactyla; Suidae. The record is from RNAcentral.
GCAUAUGGAGGUUCCCAGGCCAGGGGUCCAAUCGGAGCUGCAGCCACCGGCCUCCGCCAGAGCCACAGCAACACAGGAUCCAAGCCACGUCUGCAACCUACACCACAGUUCAUGGCAAUGCCGGAUCCUUAACCCACUGAGCAAGGGCAGGGACCGAACCCGCAACCUCAUGGUUCCUAGUCGGAUUCGUUAACCAAUGAGCCACAACAGGAACUCCUAAAUAACAAUUUUAAAUUUCUUUAAUAACAACUCUGAAGCACUCUGGUAUCUUAUGUGACUUCGGUUUUGGUUUGUUUUAGUGGGAUAGGGUGGGCGGAAUUUGUUUCAGAUAGCUUUGGUAUUGUGUAUUCUCCUGCAUUCUUAUAUUCUAAAACUCGGGUAAUUCUUUAAACUAUAAUCUUUUAGUAACAAAACCUCUACUCCCAAUGUUUGCCGCAAAGUUUUAUUCUGAAUAAAAAUCGUCCAAUUUGAUAGAAUAGUUAACCUCUGACACACCUGAAACCAAUAUAGAAGGUCUCUUAAAAAGUAAUGCGGUUUUUAAAAAGUUUUAAACAGUCCAGUUUUUUUUAAUCCAGUUCUUAAAAUCACAAAACAGUUAUAAGUAUUCCUUUGAAAUCUAAUAUUUGAUCUCAACAUUUAAGUGAAAUAGCAAAAAAAAAAAAAAAAAAAAAAAAAAAAAACCAUUGAGAGGCUCUGAAAUAACAGCCCCCAGGAUAUGCAAAACGAUAGUGGAAAUAAGUCUGUGUGUCGUCUCCCCCAUUUUAUGCAUGAGGAAAGUUAGCUCAAGGACAUUGGAGUUUAUGGCAGAGUAAGAGCCCAAGACUCAGCAGAGCUGCCCAAUUUAAGCUCCUUGUGUGUACGCAACAUGCAACCUGAUUUUAUCUCUGCAGAGCCCAGAGUUCUGGGCAGAAAAGAGACGCAGGGGAAGGGGGGGGGGGGGGGGGCNAAGUGUCCCCGUAUGGGCAGUGAAAGAGGACAAUAGAAAAGAUUUCUGUGGCCCUUACCUCUUCCUCUUGUAAAACUGUCUUGCUUUGGCUUGCCCUGCUAUAAGGUAAAGUCAUACCAUGACACGUGGGCUCAGCACCUACUAUGACUGAACAGUUAGAGUGCAAUGUCACAGUUCUAGGUGGCUGACCCCAGCCAUGUCACAAUCUGAGCACAGGCCCACAUUCUGAGAACUUCCUCCUGGGCAGCUUCUGCCCUUCUUCUUUCAGAGUAUCACCGCUCCAAGCAGCAAGGCCCCACUCCACUCACCUAGGCAUGAGGACCAAAGGCAGAAACACCACCUGUGACUCCAACCUGUGCCUUCUCACAUGGAGAGCAGGUAAUUUCUCUCUGCCUAUCGUCCUCCGAGUGUCUUAUUAGAGGAACCAAAAAAAAAAAAAAAAUUCUCUUUCACAUGUGUUAGAAAGUCUAAUAUUGUGUCAAACAGAAAUGAAAAAUAAACCUAAUCUAAGCUGUCAUAGAAUCAUGAGAUGCCUCUGGCAGUUCUAUCAAAGUAUGGAGACACGCAGGGACUCUUUGAAGAAAUGAAACUGCAGUUUAUCAAGUGUGAUUUAUAAGCAACACUGAUGUAGCUGGUAGAUAACACUGCUGUCUAAUCAUUAGUAGUCAGACAACAGCCAUGUGAACACAUCAAUUAUGGGCCACUGCCAAGAGCCCUUGAGAUCUUGGAGAUUAACAGCCAAUCCUCUGUUUUACAAGCUCACAUCAAAAAGAAUAUUAAUAAGAGGAGGGGCGAUGUGAAAGCUUGUCAGAGUAAUUCCGCCACUAAAACAAGGCAUUUUCCCCCCACUCUCCUCUCUGUUGAAUUGGCCCAAGGAGGAAGCUGACAUCAGCUACAAAGUGCAAUGCUGCCAAUUUCUUGGGAAAUGUUUUUCACUAACAUAUGGGAACUUGUAAGGGUCUGCAAAACUGCUAUUUGGUGAAGAAAGGCAGGCAAGCCUUCUUCAUGUCCCUUUUUUAAAUGCUGGAAUGAAACAAAUGGAGGCAUGAUUGCAUUAGUGAAUUAUUUUGAAUUAAUAUGCAUGAGAGAAGUAUCCGACCUCGCAAUCAGAAAUUUUGUAAAACCUCACGCUGUUCUUCCACUUCCCCCAGCCACCAACAUUCAAUUAACUAACAGAAACUUUUGGUACUAACCUACACCUGAAUAAGCUUCUUCCAAUCAACAUGGUUCUCUCCAAUGCAGAACAAAAAAUCAAAAUGUGCAGUCUCUAAUUUUAAGUACUGAAAUUCCUUCUUUCCAACUAUCUCAGGAAGACAGGUAUAAAACCCAAUGAUAUUUCUGCAGUUAGAAUUAAGGUGGCUCUCAUAACCGCCCCCCCACACACACACACACAGCCACAGGCACAGCAUUAAUCUCAGGUCUAUCAGUUUUUAAUAUACACACCAGCAAGGACUGCUAUAUUUUUGUAAAUAAUCAGGUUAAACCAAGUAGCUGGCAACAAAGGGUCUAGUGGGGUUCCAGCAGGCUCCCUAAUACAUGAACAUAAGCCACACUACAAAACCCAUGGCCUGGGUUUCCCCUGCCACCAGGAGAUGUUUGCAUUUUUAUUUGAAGAGCACUCUAUAUUUACAGAGCGCUUUCCUAAAAUUUCAUUCGCUGCUCAUCAUUUCAAAAUCAGCAUGGGGAAAAAUCAUUAGGGGAGAAAGAAGAAGCAUGGGGUCCUGUCGCUUCUCAGUAGUCAAGCUGUUUGGCUCCUAACUAAGUCACUUACUUCCAGGGCUUGCUGACAAGGAACUGUUACAUCAAAAGAUUCCUUACCUGGGGUUCCAAGACUGCGGAAUUUGAGAAACACUGUAAUUACAAAAGAAAAAGUUUAUAUGCUCAAUAAAAACAUGGCUUAAAAGUGCCCGCUGUGGUGCAGUGGGUUAUGGAUCUGCCAUUGUCUCUGCAGUGGCUUGGGUCGCUGCUCAGGCAUGGGUUUGAUUCCCAGCCAGGCACUGCCACUGCUAUGGCAUAGGUCUCAGCUUCGGCUUAGAUUUAAUCCCUGGCCUGGGAACCUCCACAUGCUGCAGGUGCAGCCAAAAAUAAAAAAACAGAGUAGAGUGGACUAGAGUUAACUUAAGAAGCAUAGGCCUACCUAUUAGUAAAGUCGAGGGCAAGAGCCAUGCUUCUUUUUCAUUACAGUGCGUCCUUAAUACACACUGACUCAAGUAAAGGCACUGCAGUCACUCUGAACCCCGGUUUUUUCAUCCGUAAAACCAGAGCAAUAACACGUUCUCUUCUCUGAUGAUCUUUGAAGGCUGUCAUAAGAACCUACAGGAUAUGGCUUUAGAAGUAUGUAAACAUAACUUAAGGUGUUGAUGAAUUCAACAAGCACUUCUUGAGCAGCUAGAUGCUACGCACUGUACAAAGUACUAAUGAUUACCAGCUGCAUUUUUUUUUUUUUCUUUUCCAGAGCCAUACCGACAUAUAUGGAAGUUCCCUGGCUAGGGGUCAAAUCCGAGCUGAAGCUACUGGCUUACAACACAGCCACCGCAGUGCCAGAUCUGAGCCAUGUCUGUGACCCACACCACAGCUCAAGGCAAAGCCAGAUCCUUAACCCAGUGAGGAGGGCCAGGGAUCGACCCUGCAUCCUCCUAGAUCCUAGUCAGGUUCAUUAGCUAAGCCAUAGCAGGAACUCCUUGACUGCAUUUUUGACAUUAGAAAGAAACUAGCCUUCUGAAACCACAGCCAUGCCCUGGCCACCCAACAUUGAGAGAGGAGGAAAAGACUUUCGCAAUAAACUGAGAGUUUCAGUUCAUUAAAUGUCUACUGGCAAGUGUAUUUUUGGAAAAAUAUAUUUUAAUAACAUGUUGGGUUUAAUGGGCAACUUCAAGGUAAAAAAAUCAAACCACUAUUCUAUUUAACAACAGUUAUGACUAUGAAUGACAUGUGAUUAUAAUCAACGAUGAUACACCAAAGCUGUCAGAAUGGGCUGUGCUCCAAGUUUGUAGACAAAUUUCACCAAAGAUAAAGGGGCCAAAUUCAUUCCUAAGAUCUUAUUACACUCCAGACUCCUGAACUGGCUCCCCUCCCCCCCAUCAAAUUAUAUUAUUAACUCCACUUAACAAUUUUCCCAAGGUCACGCCUAAGCUGUAAGUUAUAAUAGACACUUCCCUCUCAGUUGAAUAAUGACUCUUUUUUUAGGAGUAGCCUUCCAUUUUAGCCCCAAGGGUUUUGCGGGUGACAAAGAAAUCAUCAGACAAAAAUCUGCCAGCAAACAGGAUGCCACUGCAAUCUGUUAUUCUGACACAGCAUAACCCUUCUGGGUAAAGCAUCUUUAUCUUUAUUCUUUAAAAUUCAACAGACACGCUCUACCAGAUCCAGGCAAAGCAGGUGCGAUAUAACCGAUGACAAACAGAUGAUGGUGCUUUAAAGAAUUAAAAAUGCCACAUAAAUGCAAGAUAUACCAACUUCCAGAUAAUCCCCAGCAACGUUUUCAUCUGUGAUCUCUACAGGGAAGGAAGAUACAAGACGUAUACCCAGAUUGUCCUCUCUCUGCAAUGAUACUAAGAGAGAAGCCAGUUCAGCAAAUAGUUAUCAAGCAUUUGCUGGAAUCAGCAUCAUGCUAAGUGCUGAAGGGAGCAAAGUAAGAAGGCAUCAGUGCCCUCCACGGUGUCAGGCUGGCAGGAGAAGCAGGGAGGUGCAAGUCAAAUACACUUGUCUCCAGGGCAAAAACUACAAGUGCGGGGAAUUACACCUCAUUUUGGAACUAAAAGGACACUCGGAGUCCAAGAAGAAACCUUGCCCAAGGUCACAAAAGAAGUCACAGCCAAAGCAUCAAGUGGGACCCAGUCUCUCAAUCCCCAGUUCAGAGCUUGGCCCCUGGAUCACCUCCCAGGCAGGCACCAGAGGAAAGGGCCUGCCACGCAUAGGCAACAGUCGAUAUGAAGGCCACACGGGGGCCAGAGUCAGCAGGGCUCAUGGGCUAAGCCCUGCUGAUCAAGAGGGCCCUUGAGCAAACUGGCAAUUUCCUGAAGCCCAGUGGACCUGGAGAGAUGACCUCCCCAGAUCAGCUCUACGACAGUAAUACUAAAACUGCAUGCUUUGUGCACUCCCCAAACAUCUCCUCCAGCCUCCGCUGCUGCAAUUAACUACAUGCAACCGCUAAGGCAAAUGGCUAACUAAGCAAAACCGUGGCCCAACUUUACUGCUUAGGCAUCAUUGUACAUGGAUGCCUUUGCUCUAGGAGUCUGAGAAACACUAGUGAGGGUAUUUACCAGCUCUAAAUAGUCCUAAGGCUGGAGCUGCAAAUCAUUAGUCCUUCUUGCUCUACCUCCCAUUUGAGCAAGUACACUAAUUAACCACCUGUUAAGACACGUGAUGAUGCCUUCUUUAGAGCAAUAGGAGGGGUGGGAGUUUGGAGGUAGUAGGUACAAACUAUCACAUUUCAAAUGGAUAAACAAUAAGGUCUUACUGUAUAGCACAGGGAACUAUAUCCAAUCCCCUGGAACAGAGCACGAUGGAAAAUAAUAUUUCAAAAAGAAUGUAUAUAUAUGUAUGACUGAGUCACUCUGCUGUACAGCAGAAAUUGGCACAACACUGUAAAUCAAUUAUACUUUAAUAAAAAAUAAAUAAAUAGUAAAGCAACACUGUGGUGAUUUUUCUGUAAGAGGCCUUAAAACAACAGCAACAACAAAAAAUUCUAAUACCCAUUCCUUUGGGGGAGAAGACAUGUCUAAAGGAGCUAGCUGAAGCUUUUAUUUAAUCACCCAGAGAAGCCCCCCCAAGGGGGUAGGAAAGCUGGGACUGGGUAUUUGGGGAAAGGAAAAAUAAGUAAGUACUCUUCAGAUGACUUAGAAGUACAGCUCUGAUUAGGAAACAAUGCUUUCAAUUCAAGGGUUCAAGGAUUUGGAUACUAGGUCAAAUAUUAUUUAUGUUGCCAUUGAACCUCUAAAGUCAGUGAGAUGAAAAUCAUGUUUACCUUUGAGUUGAAAACUAUAAAGAUUGCCAACUACCAUCAAAACAGCACAAGAAAAAAUAUUUUUAAAAGAAUCCUGGAGAAUUGUCUUUCUACACUAGUUCAAAACCCAAAAGCCAUGAAAGGAAUAAUAAACUUCACUAUACAAUUUGAGAUAUUUAUACAGGGGAAAAAAAAAACCUAGAAUAAACAGAAUCAAAAGACAAAUGAAGAGAUGAGUGAAAAAACUGCAAGCACAUGAAAAAAAAAAUCUGUAAAACAUGAAAACAAGUAUAGUUAAGCAAUACACACUGAAAUACUUUAAAAAUCACUAAGAAAUGACCAACAACUCACUAGAAAAUUAGUCAGAGGUUAUAAACUAUCAUAUAUAGGCGAUACAAUGGCCUAUAAAAAGGAAAAGGGCCAAUUUUUAAAAUGGAUUACUAUCUGAUUAUCACAGAUUAAAGCCAAAAACUUAAACUUCACAGUAUUCCACUGCAGAAAUACAGGCAAUUUGGAAUUCCCAUUGUGGCUCAGCAGAAAUGAAUCCGACUAGCAACCACAAGGACACAGGCUCCAUCCCUGGCCUCGCUCAGGGGGUUAAGGAUCCAGCAUUGCCCUGGUGUAGGUCGAAGAUGCAGCUCGGAUCUGGCAAUGCUGUGGCUGUGGUGUAGGUGGGCAGCUGCAGCUCCGAUUCAACCCCUAGCCUGGGAGCCUCCAGACGCCUCAGUGCGGCUCUAAAAAGGCCAAAAAGAGAGAAAGAGAGGGAGGGAGGGAGGGAGGAGGGAGAAAGAAGAGAAGAGAAAAAAAGAAAAAAGGAAGGAAGAAAGAAAGAAAGAGAAAAGGAAAGGAAAAGAGGGAGACAGGGAGGGAAGAAGGAAGAAAGGAAGGAAUACAGGCAUUUAUUCCAUGUUCCAGCAUUGAUGGGAAUGCAACUGACAGAAUCAACUCAGGGGCCAAUUAUGAAAUGUAUUCCAAAUGACAUUGACCGGAGCAUUUUCUAACUGAAAAAGACUAGGAAACACCUAAACGCUAUUAGCAGAGGACCCGUUAAAUAAAUUAUGGAAUCAAAGGUAAAAAGAGGAACAUAAGAUAUCUAAGACAUAAGAGUAAUGUGAAAAGAGCAAGGUGCAGAUCUGUUCCUUUAAUAUGCUCUGAUCUGUAUACGGAGACAGAUAUAUAAAUAUACAUGCUUGAACAU